Molecule: long non-coding RNA, 646 nt
Organism: Orcinus orca (killer whale)
Lineage: Eukaryota; Metazoa; Chordata; Mammalia; Artiodactyla; Delphinidae
Exons: 3
Source: RefSeq, a predicted model, not a curated record
CAUUUCCCGUAAGUUAUUUGUUUCCCUGUUAGGUCCGGAGGAUAUUUGUGGACAAUUUAGGAGAGCUUCCGGAUCUGAAAACAAUCCCCGCUAACCCGGGUGGGGAAGCGCUUGCGUAGCCCCGAGGCCUUAGUUCUCCAGCAACACCCUGGCCUCCACGCAGCUGAGAACGAUGGAGAAGAACAACCCUGCGCUCGCUCGUCCGGCUUUCAAGCCCUGGUCAGGGACGUCUAGGGGGCCAGGCGCUGCCCAGGGAUCCUGCCUCCUGUCCUACAUGCGAGUGUGAAGCAGACUGGGCCCGGAACAGGUUAGGGGAACAGCUCCCCCGGACCCUCCCGCCCAAGCCAUUCAGAGCCUCUUCUUGGGCAACUUCUUCCCCUUGAAUGAGUCUCUUUCCAGGAAGCUCCCCAGCUUUUGCAGAUAGAGUUGCGUCCAUUCACCAGUUCCCCAGCUGUAACCCAGGCUGAGUUCCUUCCUGGGAAGCUCCUCAGGCCCCCAGUAUACACUUCUGUGAGAUGCCGCUGCCUGUCUGUCGUGGACAACAGAAGAGCACCGUUCAAGUGAGAGACCCACGGCGUGGGCUCACAAAUAAGCUAUUUGGGGUAAACUUAUUUUUCAAAAAUUGGCACUUGCCUGUUUAAUUAUU